AUUGAACGCUGGCGGCAUGCCUUACACAUGCAAGUCGAACGGUAACAGGUCUUCGGAUGCUGACGAGUGGCGAACGGGUGAGUAAUACAUCGGAACGUGCCUAGUAGUGGGGGAUAACUACUCGAAAGAGUGGCUAAUACCGCAUGAGAUCUACGGAUGAAAGCAGGGGAUCGCAAGACCUUGUGCUACUAGAGCGGCCGAUGGCAGAUUAGGUAGUUGGUGGGAUAAAAGCUUACCAAGCCGACGAUCCGUAGCUGGUCUGAGAGGACGAUCAGCCACACGGGGACUAGGACACGGCCCAGACUCCUACGGGAGGCAGCAGUGGGGAAUUUCGGACAAUGGGCGAAAGCCUGAUCCAGCAAUGCCGCGUGCAGGAUGAAGGCCUUCGGGUUGUAAACUGCUUUUGUACGGAACGAAAAGCCCCGGGUUAAUACCCUGGGGUCAUGACGGUACCGUAAGAAUAAGCACCGGCUAACUACGUGCCAGCAGCCGCAGUAA
Molecule: ribosomal RNA, 498 nt
Filed under: uncultured bacterium
Lineage: Bacteria
Description: partial 16S ribosomal RNA
Rfam family: Bacterial small subunit ribosomal RNA
Source: RNAcentral